AUUGUUAGUUGCCAUCAUUCAGUUGGGCACUCUAGCGAGACUGCCGGUAAUAAACCGGAGGAAGGUGGGGAUGACGUCAAAUCAUCAUGCCCUUAUGACCUGGGCUACACACGUGCUACAAUGGUUGGUACAACGAGUUGCGAGUCGGUGACGGCGAGCUAAUCUCUUAAAGCCAAUCUCAGUUCGGAUUGUAGGCUGCAACUCGCCUACAUGAAGUCGGAAUCGCUAGUAAUCGCGGAUCAGCACGCCGCGGUGAAUACGUUCCCGGGCCUU
This 273-nucleotide ribosomal RNA is filed under the name uncultured Streptococcus sp. RNAcentral's name for it is "partial 16S ribosomal RNA". It matches the Rfam family "Bacterial small subunit ribosomal RNA", at positions 1107 to 1382 of the family's 1533-position model. The record is from RNAcentral. Lineage: Bacteria; Bacillati; Bacillota; Bacilli; Lactobacillales; Streptococcaceae.